Molecule: ribosomal RNA, 547 nt
Filed under: uncultured bacterium
Lineage: Bacteria
Description: bacterial SSU rRNA
Rfam family: Archaeal small subunit ribosomal RNA
Source: RNAcentral
AAUAGAUACCCCGGUAGUCCCAGCCGUAAACGAUGCUCGCUAGGUGUCAGGCAUGGCACGACCGUGUCUGGUGCCGCAGGGAAGCCGUGAAGCGAGCCACCUGGGAAGUACGGCCGCAAGGCUGAAACUUAAAGGAAUUGGCGGGGGAGCACAACAACGGGUGGAGCCUGCGGUUUAAUUGGACUCAACGCCGGACAACUCACCGGGGGCGACAGCAAUAUGUAGGCCAAGCUGAAGACUUUGCCUGAAUCGCUGAGAGGAGGUGCAUGGCCGUCGCCAGUUCGUACUGUGAAGCAUCCUGUUAAGUCAGGCAACGAGCGAGACCCGUGCCCACUGUUACCAGCAUGUCCUCCGGGACGAUGGGUACUCUGUGGGGACCGCCGAUGUUAAAUCGGAGGAAGGUGCGGGCCACGGUAGGUCAGUAUGCCCCGAAUCUCCCGGGCUACACGCGGGCUACAAUGGAUGGGACAAUGGGUCCCUCCCCUGAAAAGGGCUGGUAAUCUCACAAACCCAUUCGUAGUUCGGAUCGAGGGCUGUAACUCGCCCG